RNAcentral lists this ribosomal RNA (685 nucleotides) under uncultured bacterium. Its description in RNAcentral is "bacterial SSU rRNA". It matches the Rfam family "Bacterial small subunit ribosomal RNA", at positions 78 to 760 of the family's 1533-position model. The record is from RNAcentral.
CUUCGGUGGCUGACGAGUGGCGAACGGGUGAGUAAUACAUCGGAACGUGCCCGAGAGUGGGGGAUAACGCAGCGAAAGCUGUGCUAAUACCGCAUACGAUCUACGGAUGAAAGCAGGGGACCGCAAGGCCUUGCGCUCAUGGAGCGGCCGAUGGCAGAUUAGGUAGUUGGUGGGAUAAAAGCUUACCAAGCCGACGAUCUGUAGCUGGUCUGAGAGGACGACCAGCCACACUGGGACUGAGACACGGCCCAGACUCCUACGGGAGGCAGCAGUGGGGAAUUUUGGACAAUGGGCGAAAGCCUGAUCCAGCCAUGCCGCGUGCAGGAUGAAGGCCUUCGGGUUGUAAACUGCUUUUGUACGGAACGAAAAGGUCUUUUCUAAUAAAGAAGGCUCAUGACGGUACCGUAAGAAUAAGCACCGGCUAACUACGUGCCAGCAGCCGCGGUAAUACGUAGGGUGCAAGCGUUAAUCGGAAUUACUGGGCGUAAAGCGUGCGCAGGCGGUUAUAUAAGACAGAUGUGAAAUCCCCGGGCUCAACCUGGGAACUGCAUUAGUGACUGUAUAGCUAGAGUGCGGCAGAGGGGGAUGGAAUUCCGCGUGUAGCAGUGAAAUGCGUAGAUAUGCGGAGGAACACCGAUGGCGAAGGCAAUCCCCUGGGCCUGCACUGACGCUCAUGCACGAAAGC